AGGUUUUUCAUAAGUAGAUCAUAAUAUAUUUUGUUGUGUGAAAAUGACCAUGUCAAUUGUUUUCCUUACUCUUACAAUUUGAUAGGACUUAUUAAUGUAUGUUACAUUAAUUGGUCCUAUGAAUGUGAUUGAGGAUUUACUAUAUGUAAUACUUUAGGUAAGUAAUUGUCUAUGGCGAUAAAACAGAUUAAGUUGACAGUGAAGGAGUAAAAGUAGGCUAGAUUAGUGCAAUGUGUGGUGCGAAGCGCUUGGUACAUAAAUUAAGUUGGAUAAUGAUUAAAAUACGAAGUAAAUUCUGUGGGUGAUAAACCGUGGAUGAUAGUAAUGUAUAGUAGCUAUUACAACUUAAAUUUCAGUUUGUCGAGUUGAUGGAUUUUUACAUUAGAUUGCCAUAGUUGUUUUGUUUUUGAAUAGGUUGCAUUGAAGUUGUGGCAAUGAUUAUACAUUGGCGUUAUUUUUGUUUAACUUUAUAUGUGUUGUAUUAUCGAUUCAAUUUGACCAGUUUUUGAAAUGAAUAACUUAUCACAAAAUAAUAUAUUUUCCCUCUUACUUAUAAAAUUACUGAUAUCAUUACAUAGUUGAAAAAUAUUAGUAUAAUAUAUACGUUCCAACAAAGUUGUAUGUGGAAGUUUAUGUCACAUCUUAUUCACCCGAUCCUACGAAAUAAACAUAAUGAAGUAUAAUUAGAUACAUGUAGAUGAUAUAUUUAAUUGGAUUUGAUUAAUGUGAAAUAAUUUAGAUAUCAUAUCUCACCUAAUACUUUCUUAUAGACGAUAUUCCUUGUGUAUGAUUCUGUCUUCCAAUCUGGUUGUUUUGUCAUAACCAAAACUCUCGUUCUGGUCAUUGAUACUCCUAUAGAGAGUGCCACGUACAAUUGUCCAUAUGAGAAAAUAUGUUGUGGUAGAUACAAUCCAAUAUUUGGAAUUCUUUGUCCUUGUAUUUUAUUUAUCAUCAUUGCAAAACACAGAUGUAUCAGAAACUGCUUUGAAUAAAUUUAAA
RNAcentral lists this long non-coding RNA (999 nucleotides) under Capsicum annuum. RNAcentral describes it as "long non-coding RNA (CANN_LNC001948)". The record is from RNAcentral. Lineage: Eukaryota; Viridiplantae; Streptophyta; Magnoliopsida; Solanales; Solanaceae.